AAAGGAAUUGACGGGGGCCCGCACAAGCAGUGGAGUAUGUGGUUUAAUUCGAAGCAACGCGAAGAACCUUACCAGGGCUUGACAUAUAUCUGAAUAUACUAGAGAUAGUAUAGCCUUUCGGGGCAGAUAUACAGGUGGUGCAUGGUUGUCGUCAGCUCGUGUCGUGAGAUGUUGGGUUAAGUCCCGCAACGAGCGCAACCCCUAUGGUUAGUUGCCAGCACAUAAUGGUGGGAACUCUAGCCAGACUGCCGGUGAUAAAUCGGAGGAAGGUGGGGACGACGUCAAAUCAUCAUGCCCUUUAUGUCCUGGGCUACACACGUACUACAAUGGAAGUAACAGAGGGAAGCAAAGCAGCAAUGCGGAGCAAAACCCAAAAAGCUUCCACAGUUCGGAUUGAAGGCUGAAAUUCGCCUUCAUGAAGCCGGAAUUGCUAGUAAUGGCAGGUCAGCAUACUGCCGUGAAUACGUUCCCGGGCCUUGUACACACCGCCCGU
This 493-nucleotide ribosomal RNA is filed under the name uncultured bacterium. RNAcentral's name for it is "bacterial SSU rRNA". It matches the Rfam family "Bacterial small subunit ribosomal RNA", at positions 903 to 1397 of the family's 1533-position model. The record is from RNAcentral.